GUUUGAAGGAGCAGGCAUUGCCACAGUCUGUUCGCCAGAGCCGGUACUAUUUGUCCUCUUUAAUUGGCCCUGAUUUUCAUCCCUUCCAUCCCUCCCUCCCUCCUUUCUCCGCCUGGAGCCAUUGUUUGUGCGUGGUUGUUACAGAAUAUGCAAACAUGGGAAAAGCUUGGCUAAUACUUUAGAGAGGUGCCUGGGCACUUGACAGAAGAUGCCUCCUCGCUGAGUGAUUCUUGAAGAUUCUCCUCAGCUCAGCCACAGGAAGGAUGCUAAGCUAUUUCUUCAAAAGAGCAACUUGAUUCUAUAUUGGAGAUAUGAAGCUUUCAACUUUGCUCACAGAAUUUCUCAGCAGAGCAGAGAAGCCAAAUUCUAUUACCAUAGUCCAAAUGCCUUGGAUCAUGAGGGUCAUAGAACCCCAGUGCUGAAGCUGAUUGCCCUAAACCAGGGCUUCCCAAAGAAUGACCAGGAUUGUCUCCCAGGUGGUGAGUAUCUUCUACUAUUGUUAUUUAUAUU
This 510-nucleotide long non-coding RNA is filed under the name Phascolarctos cinereus (koala). Its description in RNAcentral is "lncRNA (ENSPCIG00000032749.1)". The record is from RNAcentral. Lineage: Eukaryota; Metazoa; Chordata; Mammalia; Diprotodontia; Phascolarctidae.